AGGGUUUGUGACAGACAGCAGAUGGCCAACAGGGAGAUUGGUGCCCAUGUAGCUGAUGCUACAGAUCCUGCACAGAUUAUAUUUGCUCGGUUCAGGCCACCAACACCACCUCCCAGGAGCACUAGCAAAUGGCACAAGAAGAGUCACCAGCAGAUUGGGUCCUUAUGACCUCUAGGAUCCUGUUAGAUACAAACCCACCUGGUGUCCAUAUUUGUUCCUGUUGGUUCCUCCAUCACCUGAUGUGACGCAAGUGUCCGGCCCCUGGUUGCUGAGAGUAACAGAUCAGUCUGUGACGGAAUAGUCACCCCAGGUACAGCGCCAGUGCCAGCCAGCAGCACACAGUAGCUCUGCAUCUGGUAUCGCAGAGGGCUCGGCCCAAUAGCAGACAAGUUGGCCAACUCAACACCAAGCACUGGGGCCAACUCAACACCAAGCACUGGGCACCGAUGGCACCUUCUGUAACAGACGAAAGAUUAAGAACUGAUAUUUAAUAUCUGAAUUAAUAAUAAUGAAUAAAUACAAGAUUUUGUAAAA
Long non-coding RNA from Bombina bombina (fire-bellied toad), 534 nucleotides. RefSeq lists it as uncharacterized. The transcript is spliced from 3 exons. The record is from RefSeq and is a predicted model, not a curated record. NCBI's taxonomy places the organism in Eukaryota, Metazoa, Chordata, Amphibia, Anura, Bombinatoridae.